RNAcentral lists this long non-coding RNA (11848 nucleotides) under Xyrichtys novacula (pearly razorfish). The record is from RNAcentral. Lineage: Eukaryota; Metazoa; Chordata; Actinopteri; Labriformes; Labridae.
AAUGUUGAGCUCAUAGGACUAGUUAUUACAAUCCCUUAUAUCAGCACUUGGAAUUGAGUGGGGGGGGGGGGGGGGUAAAACGUCACUGGGGUCUUCAGGUGGGCACCCCCCUUCACUGGUGUUUCAUUGAUAGGCCCACGACACCUCCAGGGGGCUCAACGGCGACACCUGGCGUCCCAGGUGUGCCCCCCUCUGCUUUUACCCCUAGGUGGUCAUUUUGCAGCCCAGGUGGAGUCCUUUCUCUUGAUCCAGAGCCAUCUGCUGCUUCGUUCGGCAGCCUCUGAUAUAGAUUUGAUGGCUCGUCGGAAGGCCUGUCCUCGUACUCCCAAUCUCUUCAGAAGCUUGGUUGUGGAUGUUGCAACGAAGCCUCUGCACCCAACCUCCACCGGAAGCACCUGGGCCCUCCAGCCGCGCUUCUCUGCCUCGGCUGCUAUGUCCGCAUACUUCAGUCGUUUGCGCUCAUAUGCUUCACCAACUGCUGCCUCCCACGGUACAGUUAAUUCAAUGAUGAACGCAACCUUCUGGGUGGUUGACCACAAGACCAGGUCCGGCCUGAGGCUAGUUGGAAGGAUCUCAGGCGGAAAGAUGAGUUUUUGGUCUAGGUCAACCUGCAUCCUCCAGUCCCGGGCAGAGUCUAGGAGGGUUGCCUCCACUCUUGCAGAUGGUUUUGCCGGUGGUUGUCCUGCUCUUACAAAUGGGGUGGUGUUUGGGCGUCUAGGCAUUGGUGGAGGGAGGGCAUUGAUGGUUGUUCUCCUUCCUUCCAGAGUGAUCGCCAGUUGUCUUAGGACCUGGUUGUGUCUCCAGGUGUAGCGGCCUUGGGACAGACUGGUUUUACAGCCGGUGAGGAUGUGACUCAGUGUUGCAGGUGUUUGACAGAGUGCACAAGAAGGAUCUUCUCCAAACCAUUGGUUUAGGUUUUUGGGUGUGGGAAGAACAUCAUAGGUGGCUCUGAUGAUGAAGCUGAUUUGGCUUCCUUCCAUUUCCCAAAGAUCCUUCCAUGUGAGCUUACGAUGCUCCAGGUUUUCCCAGCUGGUCCACUGUCCCUGUUUGGACUGUGCUACUGCUGUCGCGCAUCUGUUUGCCUCCUCUUGUUGCCGAACCUGAGCAACCACCAGCUUUCUCCUCUGGGUUGAUGUUGCUUUGUGCCAUGUGGGUCGACUUGUUCCGAGUCCAAACCCGCCUCUUCCAUGCUGCACCUGUCCCACAAUGUCUCCAUGCCUGAGAGCAGAUUUGGCUUGCUGUACCGCCUCAGAUGGGUUCCAUUUCCUCCCAGUUGCCAGUCUGGGAGCAGCUGCACGGAUCACCUCAUCUUGCGACUCAGUCAGGGUCAUGUUCAGCCUCACCUUGGUGCACUUAAACUCCUCUGUGAGGCUAGAGAUGGGCAGUUCCAGGGCACCAUGUCCAUACAAGCCGAUGUUGCUGAGGCAACGCGGGAGGCCAAGCCACUUCUUGAUGUAUGAGCUCACUGUUCUUUCCAUCUUCUCGACUUUGGUCAUGGGGAUCUCAUAGACUGUUAGAGGCCACAUCAGGCGGGGGAGCAAUCCAAACUGCAGGCACCACAGUUUCAACUUGCCAGGAAGCAAGGUCUUGUCUAUGCUGACGAGGCCUUUGAUGGUUUCUUCCCUCAGCUGAUCACUCUGGUCCGAGUCUUUGAGAUGUGCGUUGUAUAGUCGCCCUAGGCUCUUGACUGGCAGUUCAGACACCAAUGGGAUGGGUGUGUCCUUGAUGUGGAACCUCUGGUCUGUGAGUCUCCCCCUGACGAUGGAUAUGCUCCUGGAUUUGCUUGGUUUGAACUUCAUCCGUGCCCAUGUGAUGUUGGCAUGAAGCUUUCCUAGCAGAUGUUUGGUGCAUGCAACGGUUGAGGUCAGGGUGGUCAUGUCAUCCAUGUAAGCGCGAAUGGGAGGGAGACGCUGGCCACACUUCAGACGUUCUCCACCCACAACCCAUUUGGAAGCUCGAAUUAUCACUUCCAUUGCCAUGGUGAAGGCUAGUGGGGAGAUAGUGCAUCCAGCCAUUAUUCCCACUUCCAAAGAUUGCCAUGAUGUUGUAUAUUCUGUUGUUUUGACACAGAAUUGCAGAUCUUGGAAGUAGUUUCUCACCAGGUUUGUGAUGGUACUUGGGAUGUGGAAGAAGUUGAAAGCUGUCCAGAUCAGAGAAUGAGGGACGGAUCCAAAGGCGUUGGCUAGGUCCAGAAAUAGGACGUGCAGGUCCCUUCCUUCCCUUUUGGCAGAUUGGAUUUGGUGCCAUAUCAUGCUUGAAUGUUCCAAGCAUCCUGAAAACCCAGGUAUUCCAGCUUUCUGCACAGAUGUAUCAAUCAGGUUGUUUUGCUUCAGGUAUGUUGUCAUCCUUUUUGCAACGAUGCUAAAAAAGACCUUCCCUUCCACGUUCAACAGGUUGAUUUGCCGGAAUUGAUCGAUGUUGGAGGCAUCCUUCUCCUUGGGGAUUACCACUCCUCCAGCUCUACGCCAUGCUUUUGGAAUGGUUUGCUUCGUCCACAUCACCUUCAUUUGCCUCCACAGGAAGCGUAAGAUGUUUGGGGAGUUUUUAUACAGCCGAUAUGGAACUCCAUUUGGUCCUGGAGCUGAAGCUGCCCUUGCCUUCCUCACUGCUUCCUCGACCUCGCUCCACUUUGGAGGACUGUCAUCCAGCUGGUGUUCUGGUAGAGGAAUUGGUGGCAUGUCUGAUGGUAUCUCCCUUUGUUCAAAUCUUUGGCUGUCUGUGUGAGUGGUUUUCAGGUGAUCUUCCAACUCCCUCUUUGGCACCUUAAGUGACCCGCUUUUUUCCUUAGUGAAGAGUCCUUUUACAAAUCUGAAGGGGUCCUUGUAGAAGGAUGUUCUCGCCCUUUCCUUCCUCUUGCGUCGAGUCCUGAGGUUUUCAGCUCUCCGCAAUCUUCCCAGGCGUCCCUUUAGGUCUGUUUGCAGGAGGUCAAUGCCCACUCUUUCCUCCAUUGAGGCUCUCUUCCAUUGUUUCCUCAAUUCCCUUCUCUCUUUAACCAGGCACUCGAUUUCUUUCUGCCUUCUGGACUUGGGAGGGGUUGUUGGUGGCAUAUUCUUCUUCCCUGUCUCUUUUGCUCCAAAUCUUUCUGCUCCAUAUGAGUAGAUCAGGUCUCCCAUUUUCUCCAGUUUCUUCUCCACUGUUCCUUUGACUCCGUCCAAGAUCUUGAUCAGGUCUGCAUCAAUUGUAGCCCACUCUUUCUUGCUGCUGGACUUUGGCCACUUCACAUGAGGUCUGUGGCCUUGCAUGUUCUUCUCCAAAGCAGGUUGCAAGUGGCUGGGUUCCAAGUUCUCUGAUGUUGUGCUUGAAUUAUUCUCAGCCUCUGGGGUACUGAUGCUCAGUGGACUGUGGGUUACAUCCUGCCGCUGAGCUUCACUCGCCUGACUUGACCUUUCUCUCAGAAGAUAUUGGUCAAUGCGAGGUCCUGGCCUCGUUUUCUUCACGCACUUCAUCCGGCCUUGGUGUAUUUUUAGGCCUCUGAUGGAGGUUACUUUGGACCAGCCACAGCUACAUACUUGGCGCUCUUGUCCUUCAGCCGAUGUUGUUGCUUGUUCUGUGCCGAUUACUUGGUUCGUUGUCGUGUUCAUUCCAGGGUCAGUUACCGGGUUGUCAGCCGAUGAGUCAUCUUCCGCCCCCGCUCUCGCAGACUCUAGGGGUGUUUUCCUCUUUAAACUUUUCAUAGCAAUGGGGGUGGCCUUUGUCCACUUGCCAAGCGACGGAGCCUGCCAUCACGGAUAGCUAGUCCGUGACAGCCCCGUUGGGGUCUUUCCCUCCUGUCAGCUGUCUUUCCACGCCGUCACAUGGUCUUUCCCUAGUUGUCAGCUGCCCUUUCACAGCAGUCACUGGAUUUCUCCAGCUUAUCAGUUGAGCUCAUAGGACUAGUUAUUACAAUCCCUUAUAUCAGCACUUGGAAUUGAGUGGGGGGGGGGGGGGUAAAAGCUUCACUGGGGUCUUCAGGUGGGCACCCCCCUUCACUGGUGUUUCAUUGAUAGGCCCACGACACCUCCAGGGGGCUCAACGGCGACACCUGGCGUCCCAGGUGUGCCCCCCUCUGCUUUUACCCCUAGGUGGUCAUUUUGCAGCCCAGGUGGAGUCCUUUCUCUUGAUCCAGAGCCAUCUGCUGCUUCGUUCGGCAGCCUCUGAUAUUGAUUUGAUGGCUCGUCGGAAGGCCUGUCCUCGUACUCCCAAUCUCUUCAGAAGCUUGGUUGUGGAUGUUGCAACGAAGCCUCUGCACCCAACCUCCACCGGAAGCACCUGGGCCCUCCAGCCGCGCUUCUCUGCCUCGGCUGCUAUGUCCGCAUACUUCAGUCGUUUGCGCUCAUAUGCUUCACCAACUGCUGCCUCCCACGGUACAGUUAAUUCAAUGAUGAACGCAACCUUCUGGGUGGUUGACCACAAGACCAGGUCCGGCCUGAGGCUAGUUGGAAGGAUCUCAGGCGGAAAGAUGAGUUUUUGGUCUAGGUCAACCUGCAUCCUCCAGUCCCGGGCAGAGUCUAGGAGGGUUGCCUCCACUCUUGCAGAUGGUUUUGCCGGUGGUUGUCCUGCUCUUACAAAUGGGGUGGUGUUUGGGCGUCUAGGCAUUGGUGGAGGGAGGGCAUUGAUGGUUGUUCUCCUUCCUUCCAGAGUGAUCGCCAGUUGUCUUAGGACCUGGUUGUGUCUCCAGGUGUAGCGGCCUUGGGACAGACUGGUUUUACAGCCGGUGAGGAUGUGACUCAGUGUUGCAGGUGUUUGACAGAGUGCACAAGAAGGAUCUUCUCCAAACCAUUGGUUUAGGUUUUUGGGUGUGGGAAGAACAUCAUAGGUGGCUCUGAUGAUGAAGCUGAUUUGGCUUCCUUCCAUUUCCCAAAGAUCCUUCCAUGUGAGCUUACGAUGCUCCAGGUUUUCCCAGCUGGUCCACUGUCCCUGUUUGGACUGUGCUACUGCUGUCGCGCAUCUGUUUGCCUCCUCUUGUUGCCGAACCUGAGCAACCACCAGCUUUCUCCUCUGGGUUGAUGUUGCUUUGUGCCAUGUGGGUCGACUUGUUCCGAGUCCAAACCCGCCUCUUCCAUGCUGCACCUGUCCCACAAUGUCUCCAUGCCUGAGAGCAGAUUUGGCUUGCUGUACCGCCUCAGAUGGGUUCCAUUUCCUCCCAGUUGCCAGUCUGGGAGCAGCUGCACGGAUCACCUCAUCUUGCGACUCAGUCAGGGUCAUGUUCAGCCUCACCUUGGUGCACUUAAACUCCUCUGUGAGGCUAGAGAUGGGCAGUUCCAGGGCACCAUGUCCAUACAAGCCGAUGUUGCUGAGGCAACGCGGGAGGCCAAGCCACUUCUUGAUGUAUGAGCUCACUGUUCUUUCCAUCUUCUCGACUUUGGUCAUGGGGAUCUCAUAGACUGUUAGAGGCCACAUCAGGCGGGGGAGCAAUCCAAACUGCAGGCACCACAGUUUCAACUUGCCAGGAAGCAAGGUCUUGUCUAUGCUGACGAGGCCUUUGAUGGUUUCUUCCCUCAGCUGAUCACUCUGGUCCGAGUCUUUGAGAUGUGCGUUGUAUAGUCGCCCUAGGCUCUUGACUGGCAGUUCAGACACCAAUGGGAUGGGUGUGUCCUUGAUGUGGAACCUCUGGUCUGUGAGUCUCCCCCUGACGAUGGAUAUGCUCCUGGAUUUGCUUGGUUUGAACUUCAUCCGUGCCCAUGUGAUGUUGGCAUGAAGCUUUCCUAGCAGAUGUUUGGUGCAUGCAACGGUUGAGGUCAGGGUGGUCAUGUCAUCCAUGUAAGCGCGAAUGGGAGGGAGACGCUGGCCACACUUCAGACGUUCUCCACCCACAACCCAUUUGGAAGCUCGAAUUAUCACUUCCAUUGCCAUGGUGAAGGCUAGUGGGGAGAUAGUGCAUCCAGCCAUUAUUCCCACUUCCAAAGAUUGCCAUGAUGUUGUAUAUUCUGUUGUUUUGACACAGAAUUGCAGAUCUUGGAAGUAGUUUCUCACCAGGUUUGUGAUGGUACUUGGGAUGUGGAAGAAGUUGAAAGCUGUCCAGAUCAGAGAAUGAGGGACGGAUCCAAAGGCGUUGGCUAGGUCCAGAAAUAGGACGUGCAGGUCCCUUCCUUCCCUUUUGGCAGAUUGGAUUUGGUGCCAUAUCAUGCUUGUAUGUUCCAAGCAUCCUGAAAACCCAGGUAUUCCAGCUUUCUGCACAGAUGUAUCAAUCAGGUUGUUUUGCUUCAGGUAUGUUGUCAUCCUUUUUGCAACGAUGCUAAAAAAGACCUUCCCUUCCACGUUCAACAGGUUGAUUUGCCGGAAUUGAUCGAUGUUGGAGGCAUCCUUCUCCUUGGGGAUUACCACUCCUCCAGCUCUACGCCAUGCUUUUGGAAUGGUUUGCUUCGUCCACAUCACCUUCAUUUGCCUCCACAGGAAGCGUAAGAUGUUUGGGGAGUUUUUAUACAGCCGAUAUGGAACUCCAUUUGGUCCUGGAGCUGAAGCUGCCCUUGCCUUCCUCACUGCUUCCUCGACCUCGCUCCACUUUGGAGGACUGUCAUCCAGCUGGUGUUCUGGUAGAGGAAUUGGUGGCAUGUCUGAUGGUAUCUCCCUUUGUUCAAAUCUUUGGCUGUCUGUGUGAGUGGUUUUCAGGUGAUCUUCCAACUCCCUCUUUGGCACCUUAAGUGACCCGCUUUUUUCCUUAGUGAAGAGUCCUUUUACAAAUCUGAAGGGGUCCUUGUAGAAGGAUGUUCUCGCCCUUUCCUUCCUCUUGCGUCGAGUCCUGAGGUUUUCAGCUCUCCGCAAUCUUCCCAGGCGUCCCUUUAGGUCUGUUUGCAGGAGGUCAAUGCCCACUCUUUCCUCCAUUGAGGCUCUCUUCCAUUGUUUCCUCAAUUCCCUUCUCUCUUUAACCAGGCACUCGAUUUCUUUCUGCCUUCUGGACUUGGGAGGGGUUGUUGGUGGCAUAUUCUUCUUCCCUGUCUCUUUUGCUCCAAAUCUUUCUGCUCCAUAUGAGUAGAUCAGGUCUCCCAUUUUCUCCAGUUUCUUCUCCACUGUUCCUUUGACUCCGUCCAAGAUCUUGAUCAGGUCUGCAUCAAUUGUAGCCCACUCUUUCUUGCUGCUGGACUUUGGCCACUUCACAUGAGGUCUGUGGCCUUGCAUGUUCUUCUCCAAAGCAGGUUGCAAGUGGCUGGGUUCCAAGUUCUCUGAUGUUGUGCUUGAAUUAUUCUCAGCCUCUGGGGUACUGAUGCUCAGUGGACUGUGGGUUACAUCCUGCCGCUGAGCUUCACUCGCCUGACUUGACCUUUCUCUCAGAAGAUAUUGGUCAAUGCGAGGUCCUGGCCUCGUUUUCUUCACGCACUUCAUCCGGCCUUGGUGUAUUUUUAGGCCUCUGAUGGAGGUUACUUUGGACCAGCCACAGCUACAUACUUGGCGCUCUUGUCCUUCAGCCGAUGUUGUUGCUUGUUCUGUGCCGAUUACUUGGUUCGUUGUCGUGUUCAUUCCAGGGUCAGUUACCGGGUUGUCAGCCGAUGAGUCAUCUUCCGCCCCCGCUCUCGCAGACUCUAGGGGUGUUUUCCUCUUUAAACUUUUCAUAGCAAUGGGGGGUGGCCUUUGUCCACUUGCCAAGCGACGGAGCCUGCCAUCACGGAUAGCUAGUCCGUGACAGCCCCGUUGGGGUCUUUCCCUCCUGUCAGCUGUCUUUCCACGCCGUCACAUGGUCUUUCCCUAGUUGUCAGCUGCCCUUUCACAGCAGUCACUGGAUUUCUCCAGCUUAUCAGUUGAGCUCAUAGGACUAGUUAUUACAAUCCCUUAUAUCAGCACUUGGAAUUGAGUGGGGGGGGGGGGGGGUAAAAGCUUCACUGGGGUCUUCAGGUGGGCACCCCCCUUCACUGGUGUUUCAUUGAUAGGCCCACGACACCUCCAGGGGGCUCAACGGCGACACCUGGCGUCCCAGGUGUGCCCCCUCUGCUUUUACCCCUAGGUGGUCAUUUUGCAGCCCAGGUGGAGUCCUUUCUCUUGAUCCAGAGCCAUCUGCUGCUUCGUUCGGCAGCCUCUGAUAUAGAUUUGAUGGCUCGUCGGAAGGCCUGUCCUCGUACUCCCAAUCUCUUCAGAAGCUUGGUUGUGGAUGUUGCAACGAAGCCUCUGCACCCAACCUCCACCGGAAGCACCUGGGCCCUCCAGCCGCGCUUCUCUGCCUCGGCUGCUAUGUCCGCAUACUUCAGUCGUUUGCGCUCAUAUGCUUCACCAACUGCUGCCUCCCACGGUACAGUUAAUUCAAUGAUGAACGCAACCUUCUGGGUGGUUGACCACAAGACCAGGUCCGGCCUGAGGCUAGUUGGAAGGAUCUCAGGCGGAAAGAUGAGUUUUUGGUCUAGGUCAACCUGCAUCCUCCAGUCCCGGGCAGAGUCUAGGAGGGUUGCCUCCACUCUUGCAGAUGGUUUUGCCGGUGGUUGUCCUGCUCUUACAAAUGGGGUGGUGUUUGGGCGUCUAGGCAUUGGUGGAGGGAGGGCAUUGAUGGUUGUUCUCCUUCCUUCCAGAGUGAUCGCCAGUUGUCUUAGGACCUGGUUGUGUCUCCAGGUGUAGCGGCCUUGGGACAGACUGGUUUUACAGCCGGUGAGGAUGUGACUCAGUGUUGCAGGUGUUUGACAGAGUGCACAAGAAGGAUCUUCUCCAAACCAUUGGUUUAGGUUUUUGGGUGUGGGAAGAACAUCAUAGGUGGCUCUGAUGAUGAAGCUGAUUUGGCUUCCUUCCAUUUCCCAAAGAUCCUUCCAUGUGAGCUUACGAUGCUCCAGGUUUUCCCAGCUGGUCCACUGUCCCUGUUUGGACUGUGCUACUGCUGUCGCGCAUCUGUUUGCCUCCUCUUGUUGCCGAACCUGAGCAACCACCAGCUUUCUCCUCUGGGUUGAUGUUGCUUUGUGCCAUGUGGGUCGACUUGUUCCGAGUCCAAACCCGCCUCUUCCAUGCUGCACCUGUCCCACAAUGUCUCCAUGCCUGAGAGCAGAUUUGGCUUGCUGUACCGCCUCAGAUGGGUUCCAUUUCCUCCCAGUUGCCAGUCUGGGAGCAGCUGCACGGAUCACCUCAUCUUGCGACUCAGUCAGGGUCAUGUUCAGCCUCACCUUGGUGCACUUAAACUCCUCUGUGAGGCUAGAGAUGGGCAGUUCCAGGGCACCAUGUCCAUACAAGCCGAUGUUGCUGAGGCAACGCGGGAGGCCAAGCCACUUCUUGAUGUAUGAGCUCACUGUUCUUUCCAUCUUCUCGACUUUGGUCAUGGGGAUCUCAUAGACUGUUAGAGGCCACAUCAGGCGGGGGAGCAAUCCAAACUGCAGGCACCACAGUUUCAACUUGCCAGGAAGCAAGGUCUUGUCUAUGCUGACGAGGCCUUUGAUGGUUUCUUCCCUCAGCUGAUCACUCUGGUCCGAGUCUUUGAGAUGUGCGUUGUAUAGUCGCCCUAGGCUCUUGACUGGCAGUUCAGACACCAAUGGGAUGGGUGUGUCCUUGAUGUGGAACCUCUGGUCUGUGAGUCUCCCCCUGACGAUGGAUAUGCUCCUGGAUUUGCUUGGUUUGAACUUCAUCCGUGCCCAUGUGAUGUUGGCAUGAAGCUUUCCUAGCAGAUGUUUGGUGCAUGCAACGGUUGAGGUCAGGGUGGUCAUGUCAUCCAUGUAAGCGCGAAUGGGAGGGAGACGCUGGCCACACUUCAGACGUUCUCCACCCACAACCCAUUUGGAAGCUCGAAUUAUCACUUCCAUUGCCAUGGUGAAGGCUAGUGGGGAGAUAGUGCAUCCAGCCAUUAUUCCCACUUCCAAAGAUUGCCAUGAUGUUGUAUAUUCUGUUGUUUUGACACAGAAUUGCAGAUCUUGGAAGUAGUUUCUCACCAGGUUUGUGAUGGUACUUGGGAUGUGGAAGAAGUUGAAAGCUGUCCAGAUCAGAGAAUGAGGGACGGAUCCAAAGGCGUUGGCUAGGUCCAGAAAUAGGACGUGCAGGUCCCUUCCUUCCCUUUUGGCAGAUUGGAUUUGGUGCCAUAUCAUGCUUGUAUGUUCCAAGCAUCCUGAAAACCCAGGUAUUCCAGCUUUCUGCACAGAUGUAUCAAUCAGGUUGUUUUGCUUCAGGUAUGUUGUCAUCCUUUUUGCAACGAUGCUAAAAAAGACCUUCCCUUCCACGUUCAACAGGUUGAUUUGCCGGAAUUGAUCGAUGUUGGAGGCAUCCUUCUCCUUGGGGAUUACCACUCCUCCAGCUCUACGCCAUGCUUUUGGAAUGGUUUGCUUCGUCCACAUCACCUUCAUUUGCCUCCACAGGAAGCGUAAGAUGUUUGGGGAGUUUUUAUACAGCCGAUAUGGAACUCCAUUUGGUCCUGGAGCUGAAGCUGCCCUUGCCUUCCUCACUGCUUCCUCGACCUCGCUCCACUUUGGAGGACUGUCAUCCAGCUGGUGUUCUGGUAGAGGAAUUGGUGGCAUGUCUGAUGGUAUCUCCCUUUGUUCAAAUCUUUGGCUGUCUGUGUGAGUGGUUUUCAGGUGAUCUUCCAACUCCCUCUUUGGCACCUUAAGUGACCCGCUUUUUUCCUUAGUGAAGAGUCCUUUUACAAAUCUGAAGGGGUCCUUGUAGAAGGAUGUUCUCGCCCUUUCCUUCCUCUUGCGUCGAGUCCUGAGGUUUUCAGCUCUCCGCAAUCUUCCCAGGCGUCCCUUUAGGUCUGUUUGCAGGAGGUCAAUGCCCACUCUUUCCUCCAUUGAGGCUCUCUUCCAUUGUUUCCUCAAUUCCCUUCUCUCUUUAACCAGGCACUCGAUUUCUUUCUGCCUUCUGGACUUGGGAGGGGUUGUUGGUGGCAUAUUCUUCUUCCCUGUCUCUUUUGCUCCAAAUCUUUCUGCUCCAUAUGAGUAGAUCAGGUCUCCCAUUUUCUCCAGUUUCUUCUCCACUGUUCCUUUGACUCCGUCCAAGAUCUUGAUCAGGUCUGCAUCAAUUGUAGCCCACUCUUUCUUGCUGCUGGACUUUGGCCACUUCACAUGAGGUCUGUGGCCUUGCAUGUUCUUCUCCAAAGCAGGUUGCAAGUGGCUGGGUUCCAAGUUCUCUGAUGUUGUGCUUGAAUUAUUCUCAGCCUCUGGGGUACUGAUGCUCAGUGGACUGUGGGUUACAUCCUGCCGCUGAGCUUCACUCGCCUGACUUGACCUUUCUCUCAGAAGAUAUUGGUCAAUGCGAGGUCCUGGCCUCGUUUUCUUCACGCACUUCAUCCGGCCUUGGUGUAUUUUUAGGCCUCUGAUGGAGGUUACUUUGGACCAGCCACAGCUACAUACUUGGCGCUCUUGUCCUUCAGCCGAUGUUGUUGCUUGUUCUGUGCCGAUUACUUGGUUCGUUGUCGUGUUCAUUCCAGGGUCAGUUACCGGGUUGUCAGCCGAUGAGUCAUCUUCCGCCCCCGCUCUCGCAGACUCUAGGGGUGUUUUCCUCUUUAAACUUUUCAUAGCAAUGGGGGGUGGCCUUUGUCCACUUGCCAAGCGACGGAGCCUGCCAUCACGGAUAGCUAGUCCGUGACAGCCCCGUUGGGGUCUUUCCCUCCUGUCAGCUGUCUUUCCACGCCGUCACAUGGUCUUUCCCUAGUUGUCAGCUGCCCUUUCACAGCAGUCACUGGAUUUCUCCAGCUUAUCAGUUGAGCUCAUAGGACUAGUUAUUACAAUCCCUUAUAUCAGCACUUGGAAUUGAGUGGGGGGGGGGGGGGGGGGUAAAAGCUUCACUGGGGUCUUCAGGUGGGCACCCCCCUUCACUGGUGUUUCAUUGAUAGGCCCACGACACCUCCAGGGGGCUCAACGGCGACACCUGGCGUCCCAGGUGUGCCCCCCUCUGCUUUUACCCCUAGGUGGUCAUUUUGCAGCCCAGGUGGAGUCCUUUCUCUUGAUCCAGAGCCAUCUGCUGCUUCGUUCGGCAGCCUCUG